CCUACGGGGAGCAGCAGUGGGGAAUAUUGGACAAUGGGGGGAACCCUGAUCCAGCCAUGCCGCGUGUGUGAAGAAGGCCAUCGGGUUGUAAAGCACUUUCAGUGAGGAAGAACGCCUGGUGGUUAAUACCCAUCAGGAAAGACAUCACUCACAGAAGAAGCACCGGCUAACUCCGUGCCAGCAGCCGCGGUAAUACGGAGGGUGCGAGCGUUAAUCGGAAUUACUGGGCGUAAAGCGCGCGUAGGUGGCUUGAUAAGCCGGUUGUGAAAGCCCCGGGCUCAACCUGGGAACGGCAUCCGGAACUGUCAAGCUAGAGUGCAGGAGAGGAAGGUAGAAUUCCCGGUGUAGCGGUGAAAUGCGUAGAGAUCGGGAGGAAUACCAGUGGCGAAGGCGGCCUUCUGGACUGACACUGACACUGAGGUGCGAAAGCGUGGGUAGCAAACAGGAUUAGAUACCCGAGUAGUC
Molecule: ribosomal RNA, 465 nt
Filed under: Vreelandella stevensii
Lineage: Bacteria; Pseudomonadati; Pseudomonadota; Gammaproteobacteria; Oceanospirillales; Halomonadaceae
Description: partial 16S ribosomal RNA
Rfam family: Bacterial small subunit ribosomal RNA
Source: RNAcentral